CACCCAACAACCACACCCCUCCUCGGAGAAGCCCCAGAGCACAGCUCCUCACCAUGAACUGGACCUGGAGGAUCCUCUUCUUGGUGGCAGCGGCUACAGGUGCCCACUCCCAGGUGCAGCUGGUGCAGUCUGGGCCAGAGCUGAAGCAGCCUGGGGCAUCGGUGAAGGUCUCCUGCAAGGCUUCUGGAUACACCUUCACCAGCUAUGCUAUCCACUGGGUGCGACAGGCCCCUGGACAAGGGCUUGAGUGGAUGGGAUGGAUCAACACCGACACCGGGAAGCCAACAUAUGCCCAGGGCUUCACAGGACGGUUUGUCUUCUCCAUGGACACCUCGGUCAGCACAGCAUAUAUUCAGGUCAGCAGCCUGAAGGCUGAGGACACGGCCGUGUAUUACUGUGCCAGAGACACAGUGUGACAACCCGCAUCCUGAGAGUGUCAGAAACCCUGAGAGAGGAGGCUGCUGAGCUGAGCUGAGGCCGUGGUACAGCAGUUUCCUUAACUUCCACAUUAUAUCGUUUAGCAUUGACUUCCCCUUUUACAUGAGCCAAGAAUGUGGGAUAGAUGGUUGCUCCUAAGAGAUCCUUAACUAGCCCAUUCUUAAGGGUUUUCCAGAAUAUGUGAGAAGCCACUUUGUUUGCAAAGCAGCCCAAAGUCACGCCCUGUUCCAGACACAUGUGUGCCCAUUCCUGGUCUUCGGGUAACUGACAAGCACUUAUCAGUGCACCUGGGCUAAUUUCACAUCAGGAAGAGGAACUCAUGUUCUCUAGGAAAGCUAACGUUGGAAUAGCAAUUCCAGCUUAACAACCUUCAGCUUCAUUGUUGUGUGAUCCAUCAGCUAAUUAUGUUAGUUCAAGGUUCUCAGUGGGAGUUUCUGAUAAAUCUAAGGGAUGAAUAGAAGUUCCCCUAAUCAAAAUAACACACUUGUGAACAAAAACUCAGCAUUCAGCCAUGUCUUCACCCUUCACACUGUUCACCACAGAGUAAUUUUCACCUCUCCUGGAAGUCGGGUUCAUUUUCAAAUUAGCUUUUCUUUUAAUUUUAAUAUCUCAAGAAUAUUGUAUGUGACUAUUUUAACAGAAAGUGAAUUAUGGGAACUUGAACUAAGCAACUGAAAAUAAAUUCACAACUAAUUAAACAAGAUGCCAGAAU
Molecule: non-coding RNA, 1150 nt
Organism: Callithrix jacchus (white-tufted-ear marmoset)
Lineage: Eukaryota; Metazoa; Chordata; Mammalia; Primates; Cebidae
Source: the annotation of a RefSeq genome assembly